UGGGGAAUAUUGGACAAUGGGGGAAACCCUGAUCCAGCGACGCCGCGUGUGUGAAGAAGGCCUGCGGGUUGUAAAGCACUUUUAGUGGGGAUGAAAAGCUCAGGGAUAACACCUCUGGGUCUUGACCUAACCCACAGAAAAAGCACCGGCUAACUCUGUGCCAGCAGCCGCGGUAAUACAGAGGGUGCAAGCGUUAAUCGGAAUUACUGGGCGUAAAGCGUGCGUAGACGGUUAUGUAAGUCGGGUGUGAAAGCCCCGGGCUCAACCUGGGAAUGCCAUUCGAGACUGCAUAGCUAGGGUGCGGAAGAGGGAAGCGGAAUUUCCGGUGUAGCGGUGAAAUGCGUAGAUAUCGGAAGGAACACCAGUGGCGAAAGCGGCUUCCUGGUCCAGCACCGACGUUCAGGCACGAAAGCGUGGGGAGCAAACA
Molecule: ribosomal RNA, 427 nt
Filed under: uncultured Acidibacter sp.
Lineage: Bacteria; Pseudomonadati; Pseudomonadota; Gammaproteobacteria
Description: bacterial SSU rRNA
Rfam family: Bacterial small subunit ribosomal RNA
Source: RNAcentral